RNAcentral lists this long non-coding RNA (4089 nucleotides) under Canis lupus familiaris (dog). RNAcentral describes it as "lncRNA (ENSCAFG00000050584.1)". The record is from RNAcentral. Lineage: Eukaryota; Metazoa; Chordata; Mammalia; Carnivora; Canidae.
GUGGCUUUAAUUUGCAUUUUCUUAAUGACUCCUUAUGUUAAGUAUCUUUUUGUGUGCUUUUUGGUCAUGCAUAUAUCUUCUUUGGGGAAGAAUCUAUUCAGAUCCUUUGCCUAUUUUAAAAAGAUUUUAUUUAUUUAUCUAUUUAUUUAUUUAUUUGAGAUUGAGAGAGCACAAACAGGGGGAGUGACAAAGGAAGAUGGGAAGCAGGCUCUCAGCUGAGCAGGGAGCCUGAGGCAGGGCUCCAUCCCAGGACUCUGGCAUCAUGACCUGAGCCAAAGGCAGAUGCUUAACUGAGUAAGCCACCCGGGGUGCCCCUCCUUUGCCUUUUUAAAAAAAUUGGUUUACUUGUCUUCUAUUAUUGAGUUGUAAGAAUUCUUUAUAUACUCCAGAUAGAAGUCCCUUACCAAAUAUAGGACUUGCAAAUAUUUUCCCCCAUUCUGUGGGGUGUGUUUUCACUUUUUUGAAAGUGUCAUCACAAAUUUUUACUUUUGAUGAAGUCCAGUUGAUCUAUUUCCCCCCUUUGGUUGCUUGUGCUUUUGGUGUCAUAUUUAAGAACCAUUUGCCAAAUCCAAGGUCAUGAUGAUUUACCCCUGUUUUCUUCUAAGAAUUUUAUAGUUUUAACUUUUACCUUUAUGCAUUUGAUCCAUUUUAAGUUAAUAUUUUAUAUAGUGUGAGGUAGGGGUCCAACUUCAUCUUUUGGUGUGUCUCAGUACCAUCUGCUGAAAAGGCUGUUCUUUCCUUCACUGAAUUGUCUUGGCAUCCUCCUUAAAAUCAGUUGACCAUAGAUGUGAGAGUUUAUUUAUAAGCUCUCAUUUCUAUUUUCUUAAUGUUUUAUGCUUGUCAUCCAUGUACUAUUCUAAUAUUUGUAUUUUUAUGUUAGAGUACAAAUGACCUGUUGACCAAGGUCAGUGUCAUUUUCCUUAGACUACUAGCUACCCGGCAAACAAUGCUGACCAAACCCACCUUGUGGCCUUUUAACUUAAUGUCCAUCUCUGCCAGCUUCCUCUUAUGUGAAGGCCACAGUUAGGCCAACUGGCUCCCCACACAGCUGAAAUCACCAGAUUUUGGCUCAGUGCUAUCAUUUGCCCUUGGCCAACGUAGACUCUGAUGAAGAGAGAAAUGAGAACAAGUUAAAAGAUAGGAUGAUAAUAUUUUAUAGCGGUUCAUUUCCAUGGAGCAGGGCAAGUGGGGAGUAGGGGAGAGAGAUGGAGAGCAAGAGAGAGGAAAAAGGACUAGAAGGCACUGAGAAGAUGAGAAGGAAUAAAAGGACAAUGGGGAGAAGAAUUGAGGAAGGUAGCUUAUCAAAGUUCUUAUCAAUCACUUGUCUGAGUGUGCCCACAUGUCAGCAUCAGUGUGAGGUAGUCAAGGUGCAGACUUGGGCAGCAGAAAGAUUAACGUCUCAAGAAAAAAAAGAAAAAGAAAGACUCAUGUCUCCAUCCUUACUCUGCUCCCUGCUAGCAGUGAGAGCUGUACAAGUACUUUAACACCAUUAGGCCCCCAUUCCAAGAUCUGUCUGUCGAAGGGGAUAGUAGGAAACUGCCUUUGGAGGGAGCCUGCAAAGAUAAAACAAAUUCCUGCAUGCUUGCUCUUAGCCUAGGACCUGGCACAGGAGGAGCAAUAGCAUUAGCUCAAAUCAUAUGAAAGUUGAAGUACCUCCAACCUACCUCAUCACCAACUGUCUAAAUCAGUGGUUUUCAAACAUAAGUAUAUUAGAAUCUCCUGAAAGGCCUGUUAACAGGUUGCUAGUGCUCAUCUCUAGAGUUUCUGAUUCAGCAGGUCUGGGUGGGGCUUGACAAUUUCCAGUUCUAAGAGGUAUCCAGGUGAUGCCAAUGCUGAGGCCUGAGGAACACACACUGAAAACCACUGGUCUGAAUUUUUGAGGGUCAAGAAAACAAAAUGCCACCCAUUGGCAUCUAUAAUUCUCAAGUGAAAAGGCUUUAAAAAAAAGGCCCUGGUAAUCAGUCCCAGACAUAGACCCUGUGAACCAUUUGAACCUCACUAAUAUCAUCAAAAGGAAAAGUGACUUUAAUUACAAAUUUCUGGAAUGUAAGAAUACAGUCAAGCCCAGUUGCUAUUAUGAAAGAAUCUCUUUCACUUGAAGGAUAACCCCUCAUUUGCUUCGAAAGGAAGAAUGCUGCAGUGAUAAGUAGCAGCACAUGUGUGCUAAAAACAUCAAGACAAGUUGUCUGGAUUAUAGAAUCACGUUCACUGUCAAUGAAAGUGAUACCCUGGAGCCAUUGAGAAAAGCUUCUUUAUCACCCAAACCUCACAACAAAGCAUGCUAAUAAAAUAAUGCUUGCCGAUAUGGGAAAUGCGUAGUCUGUUGCCUUCUUGGGAGGAGCUAUAAAUAGCUCCUUGGAAAAUGUUUUUCCAUAAUUAGCUUUUCACUUCAAGUGAACUAUGUGUGAUGAAUUUCAUAUCACUAAAUGUUCUUCCUGGGCAAAGUACACAGUAGGUUAUGCAUUUGCUAGUCUAGAAACAACUAAUCAAAUAGCAUUUGAGCAGAAGUCCGAGAGCUCAAAAAAAAAAAAAAAAAAAAAGAGAGAGAGAGAAUUGGAAACCACUUUGGGGAUGCCUAUUUGGGGUCCAUGUGCUCUUACUAACAGACACAUGUAGACACAGUAAAUUGCCUCUUCUUAGCUGUUACAGGGGACAUGAGCUGAGAACAGCCAAAGACAAUGGCCACUUGUGUGUCACCCCAGCUGUCUUUCUGCCCUGUGCUAGAAGCAUGCUUCUCGCAUUCACUGGAGAGGCGCAUGUCUCAACAGCUUGCCUCCUGUGCCUUCGUGAAUGCAGCUAGGAGCAAACACCUUACAGAGCUGACGUGAUUUCUUCUACACUGUAUGUGUUUUCACAAUGACUCGAAAAUUGCUUUCAAAUCCUCUCAACUAAUUGCAGGAGCUGAAAAAACCCCUCCCAUCUUUCUGGCAAAUUUACAGCUCACCCACAUUUGCAUCCCUGGAACCUUCCCCUCCACCCCCAGCUCCCAGAACCCCGUACACAAAAGACUUCCAUUCCAGUUUUCUAGUGCAGGGAGUGCACAACACCAGUGUUUCUUCCACAUUCCACAGGCUCACCCAAGAUGGCUGUUAGUUUAAGGUGGAGUGGUUUGAAUACUUCCUUGGAGCACUCACAAUCUGAGCUGAGUAUUGCCCCCCCCCAAAAAAAUAAUCUGGUUCCAAUGAGAAAGACUAACACCCCCAGCUACUACAUUAACCAGAAGCGUGACCAGAGAUAUGAGCUUCCUCCCUGGGUGGAAGGUGGGGGGGUGCUGCACUGGUCCCACUCUCAUGGGCCAAGAGGGGCGCAUGACCAGCGCCCAGACUUUCCUUUUCUCUGCAGGAGCUGGUUCCCUUUCCCAACCCUGUAGCCUAGAGCUGGUUUGAACAUAACAUAUAUUUACAAAAGGACACUCCCAUUCCACUAUCACUAAAGUCCAAACAGUGCCCUUGGCGGGGUGCCAAUAAGCCAAUAACACGCAUAUUGACCCACUGACUUUAUUUCCUUCUAUGAAUUGUCAGGACCAAGCGUUGCUCUUUUGCCAACUCCAAUUCUUCAUCCUGGAGUGCUAUUUCGAGCACUUGGAAGAUAGCCACCUCAGAACGGAAUAAAGAUAUUAGUAACUGGGGUACUGAGAGGGCCAGAGAAAAUGGAGACAAGAAGUAUGAGGACAUGGCAGGCCAUAUGCUUUAGCAUCAGUUCUUAUCCAGCAAGAGCACAGGAAAGUGAAGGAUGCCUCCCAUGCCUCUGCUGCCUCCAAUAGCUUUGUGUCAGCAUCAGGCACAGCUGAGGGCUGGAGUGGGCGGGAGGGAGCAUGGACUUGGCAGUCUUUGAGGAUCAGACCCUGCUCUGCCAUGUAUUUGCCAAGUGACUGAGGGCACCUUGAGCCUCCCUCAAUCAGAUUCCCUGUUACCUGGAAAUCAUAAAUCUUUUUUUUUUUUUUUUUUUUUUUUUUUUUUUUUUUUUUACAGGGCGGUACAAAGAUGAGAUGAGGUAAUGCAAAUAGCUGGCACGUAAAUAUUAGAUGAAUGUUACCUUCUAGUACUGCAAACAUGAUUUACUAAAAUACCAUUUUUUAAAAAAAAAAAA